This 1120-nucleotide long non-coding RNA is filed under the name Anser cygnoides (Swan goose). Its description in RNAcentral is "lncRNA (ENSACDG00005015807.1)". Lineage: Eukaryota; Metazoa; Chordata; Aves; Anseriformes; Anatidae. The record is from RNAcentral.
AUAAAGUUGCACUACAAUUAGCUCAGAUUUUGCACAUGUCCCUAAACCAAAGUAAAUUCCUUUGAAUGUAACCUGCCCUCUCAUGUGGGCUGGCAGAUUAUCCGCAGCUGACAAUGAAUAGUUACAAGAAUGAGAACUGACGAUUAUUAAGUAACUACAGCAAAAAUUGAAUGAUGAUAAUCAACAAUAUAAAGUCAUAAUGUUAUGCAUAAGACUAAUAAAAGUCUCCUUCAUUUCUGCAGAAGCUACAUCAUAUUGAGCAUUAAAUCAUUUUUUUUUCUCCUCCCCCACCCCCUUUUUUAGAUGUUAUAAAAGAGAUAUUUUGGAAGACAGUUCACCAAGAUUUAUAGCAGAGUGUUCACUAUUCAUCCGUAAUACAUGAAACUGGGCCAGGUUGUUAUGUCCUGGGGAAAUUAAAAAAAGAAUCUUGUGACUCGUGAUAGACAUUUUGGUGGUGUUUGUGAAACAAUUUGGCAUCUCAGUCCGGUUCGUAACUAGCUCUAACUGGACAAGGCCCACACUCAAAACCAGUCAGGAUUUUUUGACAGCCAUGUCUUACUGACAGAAAAUCACAUUUUUAGGGAAAUGGCUUUCUGUUUCUGGGUAAUUUCAAGAAAUUGCUCCACUCCUUUUCUGUGUCCCCCUUUUUCCUAAUAUUAGCAGAACAAUGGUUUAGAGGUCACAGCAGGAAGUCAUGACCGAGGGCAGGUUCUGAAUAUUUGAACCCAAACACUCUGUCCUAAGAAGCUUCACUAUGCUGCAUUGGCAGGACAACAUGGGUUCUGGGAACAAAAAAGAGGUCUUAAAGAUUGUUAAAUUGUCAGCCUUCAUGGAGCGGGAUGCAGUGCGGGGGGGGGGGGGGGGAUGCAUAGUAUUUAAUAGGUAUUUACAGGCAAUGAAUAUCAAUUACAAAUUACCUUCCAGGUCAGUCUUCUGUAACAGGAGAAUCUCAGUGUUGUUUAGCUUUGAGAGGAGAUUUUGGCUCCAGCUAGCACUGCAGCAGAUAAAUCAGGUAAGUCAGAUUGCUAUUCUUAUUGACACAAAAUAGAGCAGUAACGAAGGACAUAGUAGGGGGGUUUUAUUAUUAUACAAAUAAAAACUAUGAAAACAGGAAAAUCCA